GGAAGUAAAAGUCGUAACAAGGUUUCCGUAGGUGAACCUGCGGAAGGAUCAUUAACGAUUGCUAUGGAUGAACGCGUGCUCACUUGUUUGAGCGCGCAGGCUGGCUGUGACAACAUCCGAAGGUUCACAGAAUCGGUUGUUGGUGGUGGUUCAAGAUCGGAUGAUGGUGGUGCAUGGCUCAGGAGCUCGUGGUCGCGGUGWAUGCGCUUGAGAGCAAUCUCAUGCUACACUGCCGCGGACGAGUUAAAACAAACACCAUAUGGACUUAUUUUACUGAUCUCUCGCCAUGGUAUACAGGCCUGGCAUCUGGUACGAGACCGUGUCUCAAAACCAACUUACAACUCUGAGCGGUGGAUCACUUGGCUUGUGGAUGCUAUGAAGACCAUAGCUAAGUGUGUGAAUGGCAGCGAGCCGUCGCUAUAUGCGCUGUCCUCUUCUCAUCACAUGUCGAAUGCAUAUUGCGCCCCACCCAGUGGUCGGCUUACMUCCURCAGACAAAAGCCUGUGUGUUGGAACAAAGGCAAAUGUGUGGCCCUCGAGCAACGGCGGGGGAGCCAGGAGCACAUGCGCGUGCGGUCCACUCACUCGUGAGUAGUCAGGCUGAACCYUAUGGUGGGGCACUCCUAGUCUGAGUGUGGUGGUUCGGGCUCUUGUCUCUUUMAAUGGUGAUUGAGCUGGAGUUUCUUUGUUGCCUGGGAGCAAUUUGGGUCGACAUCAGUCGUGCCUGUUAAUACCUGCCUUGGCUCGUGCCUCUGGCGCAUGUUACGGCAUGCGUUCAUUGAAGGCCAUAGCUGGCGAUCACUCUUGCGGCCAGGGCACYUUCGGGUGCGCAGCGGUCCAAAAGGUUCUGUCAUWCGAGAUUAAAUCGGARUUYCUAAGACCUAAAGACCUCGCUUUCAUGUGCUWGAUGCUUGGCAUGUUGGACUUAGCUAGUCUCUGGAUGGACGGUGCCGUCGGUCGACACUCGUUCUACUUCUUUCGUUCACACAAUGCGUGUGCUUCGAGGGUAACGGAACUAGCGGGUGCCCUUCAUGWACCAGGUCUAGCCYUGUGCGAGGCAGGGAAAGGUCAAACUGGCUAUGYUCGUAUGACGUUUGUGCCACCACCUCGACUUAGGAGAGAUUACCCGCUGAACUUAAGCAUAUCAGUAAGCGGAGGAAAAGAAACCAAAAGGGAUUCCCUUAGUAGGGGCGACCGAAAAGGGAUGAGCCCAGCGCAGAACCUCCCGGGCCACCCGGCCUGCGGCGGAAUGUUGCGUUAAGGGAAAGGUCGUAGUCAGACCCCACAGCCACGCGAUCGCUAAGUAAGCAACGAGUUUGCUGUCCCAACUAACGGCGGGAGCAUCUCCACGGAGGGUGUAAGACCCGUGUGGGCGCGUGUAAGUGCUGUGCGGCUCGGCCUCUUUUCCCUGAGAGUCGCGUUGCUUGAUCAUGCAGCGCUAAGCAGGUCGUAAACUCGAUCUAAGGCUAAAUAUUUCCACAAGACCGAUAGUGAACAAGUACCGUGAGGGAAAGUUGAAAAGCACUCUGAAGAGAGAGUCAAAAGACCGUGAAACCGCUCAGAGU
RNAcentral lists this ribosomal RNA (1565 nucleotides) under Niphargus valachicus. RNAcentral's name for it is "eukaryotic LSU rRNA". Lineage: Eukaryota; Metazoa; Arthropoda; Malacostraca; Amphipoda; Niphargidae. The record is from RNAcentral.